UACGAAGGGGGCUAGCGUUGUUCGGAUUUACUGGGCGUAAAGCGCACGUAGGCGGAUAUUUAAGUCAGGGGUGAAAUCCCGGGGCUCAACCCCGGAACUGCCUUUGAUACUGGGUAUCUUUGAGUCCGGAAGAGGUGAGUGGAAUUCCGAGUGUAGAGGUGAAAUUCGUAGAUAUUCGGAGGAACACCAGUGGCGAAGGCGGCUCACUGGUCCGGUACUGACGCUGAGGAGCGAAAGCGUGGGUAGCAAACAGG
This 254-nucleotide ribosomal RNA is filed under the name uncultured bacterium. RNAcentral describes it as "partial 16S ribosomal RNA". It matches the Rfam family "Bacterial small subunit ribosomal RNA", at positions 524 to 776 of the family's 1533-position model. The record is from RNAcentral.